UCCGGUUUGAAGCGGGCGCACCAUCGAGCAAGUUGUUAUACAGUAGAGAUUCAAUGUGAAAGUCGUCGUAAACACAUUUGCGGUGGUUGUGAACACUUUGUUUUUUUUUCAAAUUAGUGACAAGUUACAAACAAAAAAUAUUUACUGAAUGAGGCAGAAUGUCUACUUUUUUAAAGUCUGAAGAACGCAAGAGUUGCUGGGAAGCAAAGGAUAACUACUUUACCUGUUUGUCUAACAACAACGAAGAUCAAUCAAAAUGUCAAGAACUGAAAAAGCUGUUUGAAUGUAAAUGUCCCAAUACAUGGGUCAAACAUUUUGAAAGAAAAUAUGAAUAUGAGAAAUAUAAAGCAAGGCUUUUAACUGAAGGGGCACGAAAAAAAAAUAGCUGAUAUACAAGGUGUGAAUAAGUCGAGUAUGUGGUGCCGUUCUACACAUGAUUAGUUGCAUAUGUCAAGAACUAUCAAAAAAACUGUGAAGGCAAACAAGGUUAAUACUGAACUUUGCUUUUAUUUGAAAAAAAGUCAGAUGCAUUUUUGUAAGAAAAACAGACUAUGAAAUUGUACUAUGUUUAAAAAUUAUAAAAAAAUGGUAUUUACAUUGAAAAAUGUUUCAUAGCACCAAGUAUCAGCCAAAAUAUUCUGUAUAGAACUGGAAUAAAGUCAAUGGAAUUGUUUUUUUUUAUAUUUU
Long non-coding RNA from Saccoglossus kowalevskii, 687 nucleotides. Lineage: Eukaryota; Metazoa; Hemichordata; Enteropneusta; Harrimaniidae. The record is from RefSeq and is a predicted model, not a curated record.